UACGGGGGGAGCAAGCGUUGUUCGGAUUUACUGGGCGUAAAGGGCGCGUAGGCGGUCAGCACAAGUCAGUUGUGAAAUCUCCGGGCUUAACUCGGAAAGGUCAACUGAUACUGUGCGACUAGAGUGCAGAAGGGGCAACUGGAAUUCUCGGUGUAGCGGUGAAAUGCGUAGAUAUCGAGAGGAACACCUGCGGCGAAGGCGGGUUGCUGGGCUGACACUGACGCUGAGGAGCGAAAGUGUGGGGAGCGAACAGG
This 254-nucleotide ribosomal RNA is filed under the name uncultured bacterium. RNAcentral describes it as "partial 16S ribosomal RNA". It matches the Rfam family "Bacterial small subunit ribosomal RNA", at positions 524 to 776 of the family's 1533-position model. The record is from RNAcentral.